AUACGUAGGGGGCGAGCGUUGUCCGGAAUGACUGGGCGUAAAGGGCGUGUAGGCGGCUGUCUAAGUCUGGAGUGAAAGUCCUGCUUUCAAGGUGGGAAUUGCUUUGGAGACUGGAUGGCUUGAGUGCGGAAGAGGUAAGUAGAAUUCCCAGUGUAGCGGUGAAAUGCGUAGAGAUUGGGAGGAACACCAGUGGAGAAGGCGACUUACUGGGCCGUAACUGACGCUGAGGCGCGAAAGUGUGGGGAGCAAACAGGAUUAGAUACCCUGGUAGUCCACACUGUAAACGAUGAAUGCUAGGUGUAGGGGGUAUCGACCCCUUCUGUGCCGCAGGCAACACAAUAAGCAUUCCGCCUGGGGAGUACGGCCGCAAGGUUGAAACUCAAAGGAAUUGACGGGG
RNAcentral lists this ribosomal RNA (397 nucleotides) under uncultured bacterium. RNAcentral's name for it is "partial 16S ribosomal RNA". It matches the Rfam family "Bacterial small subunit ribosomal RNA", at positions 523 to 918 of the family's 1533-position model. The record is from RNAcentral.